This 30275-nucleotide long non-coding RNA is filed under the name Capsicum annuum. RNAcentral's name for it is "long non-coding RNA (CANN_LNC004947)". The record is from RNAcentral. Lineage: Eukaryota; Viridiplantae; Streptophyta; Magnoliopsida; Solanales; Solanaceae.
UGGGAAGUAUUAACUAGAUAGAUAUUUAAUGGUGAUAUGAAUAUUUUUUUAUGAGUAUUUUAGUGUAUGUUAUUUGGUAAUGACUAUUAUAAUGAUAUGUUGAUACCCGGCAAGGCCGGAGGAUAUAUUAAUAAUAAGUUGAUACCCGGCAACGCCGGAGGUUGAUUACGAUGAUGACGGUCCUGAUGAGGAUAGCUAUGAUGAGUUAUGAUAUUGAUUGUGUACUUUGCAUUCAUUCCUGCAUGCACAUCGCCUAUCACCAGCAUGCACCUAUAAUUAUCAACUGGUAGAGAAUGGUUGCAUAUAUAUGGAUGAAGAAUAUUUGCAUAUAUAUGAGUGAAGAAUAUGUCUUAUGUUAUUGUAUACUGAUAGAACCUUUCGAGUCUGGGGAAUUGGGGGUAUGCAUAGGCUCACCUAGGUAUUUGGUUAUCCAUAAGUAGAGGACUGAGGAGAUUGCGUCUAUGAAGGUCCAGUGGAAGAAUCGUCCUAUUGAAAAGGCCACUUGGAAGGCCGAAGCAGACAUGCGUAGCAAGUAUCCAUAUCUUUUUGCCAAUUCAGGUAAUUUCUUGUUUUCCCUUCUUGUCUUAUGUUUGUCGUUCGGCGAUGAAUGAUUGUUUAAUUGGUAUCUUAUGUAACGACCCUCUCGAUCUUUUUAGAUUUUUCUCAUCUUCUUUAUUUUAGCGCUCUCUGUAGUUUGCAUAGAUGGAUUAUGACUUACGAGAUGAGAUGUACCAAUUCUUGAGGUGUUUGAAAGUACUUUAAGUCAUUAAUGGGGUUAUUGAGUUGAGAAAGUUAAAUUCGAUAAUGGUCAAUCUUUGAUCAAGACGACCUCGGAUUAGUGUUGUAAUAUUUUCAAUAGGUAUGGAAUGUACUUUUAGGUCAAUGUAUAUAUUUGGUUUAUUUUCUUCAGGUUCCGAAUAAAUUCAAUAAUUUAUUAGAAGGUUUUGGUAUUUUAGAUAUUAUUUUAGUGAUGGUUAUGGGCCAAGUUAGUAUUUUAUUAUUUAUGAAGACCGGUGUAUAAAAAUAAAAUUUAAGUGGGAAUGAAUUAUCCUACUUAUAUAAUAACAUCAGAUAAUUGGGGCCAACAAAGCCACGACAGUUAGUGUAGUUCAAUUCUCUCCAUCGCACUUUGAAGGGAUUUCUUUAGAAAUUGCUCGAGGUAAAAAUUUUCCAAAAACUCUAUUGAAUAUUUUAAUUUGCGUGAUUGGUUGAUGGAGAUGUGGUGUUGUUAUUGCUAGUAGUUCAUGGGUGGGUUAAAAAGGAAGGAAAAUUAAAAAUUUGAAAAAAUUGCAACAAUGUUGUUGCACGCAUGUAAUGUGAAUUAUUCCUUGGGGUUGACAGUUAGUAGUAAUGAUUAAGUCAUCAUUAGGAAAGAUGGUUUGUAAAAUAGACAAGGUUGUGCUUCGUACGUAGUUACUGCCUCGUGAAUAUCCUUUCUUUUUUUUCUUGUAAUUCUUCACAUUAUAAUCCAUGGGUAUAUAAAAUUAAUACUAGGUAAAUUAUAUGAACCCUUAUUCGUUGUAUGAUACUUGGAAAAAUUGAGAUUUAGCGUUAGGCUUGGAAUUUAGAAAAUAUGAGGUUUAACUAAUAAUACAUGUCAGGUUUGAGAAUUGAUUAUAAAAUUGGACUCUUUUACUUACUAGUAAUAAUCGUAUUUGAACAGAUUUGAAAUAUUUGGAAACUUUACAGAGACCCUUACAAAUUAGCUUGCAUUGGAUUCUUCGAUUGAGGUAGUUUACGGUUUAAUUGGAGUUUAGACUCAACUAAAUUGUGUGUAUGCUCCUAAAUUGGAUACUUGUGGAUUGGUAUUCGGACAUGCUUGAAAUUGUUGAUGUUUUGAUUGUUGAUUCGUCUAUAAAUAUUUAUUGAAAAUGGACUUGAUGGAAUUGUUUAUGACUUUAAGUGUACUUGUAAACUUGGUACAUUUUGUGGCAUACUGUGAGGUUGUGUAAAUUGAUAUUGAUAAUACUUGGUUAUGUUUAUGUUGGAUCGAGUAUCACGUCGGUACAUUUAUAUUUAUAUUGGUUCGGGAAACACGCUGGUACGUUUAUAUUCAUAUUGGAUUAGGUACCAGUCCGGUACGUUUAUAUUCAUGUUGGAUCGGGUACCAAACUAGUACUUUUAUAUUUAUAUUGGAUCAGGUACCACGCCAGUACGUUUAUAUUUAUGUUGGAUCGGGUACCACAUCGGUACGCUUAUAUUUAUGUUGGAUCGGGUACCAUGCCGAUACGGUACAUGAACAUAGAUUGUUCCCUGCAAGUCUUGACUAUUUGGGAAAAAAUAAGUCUGAUAGCAUGUGUGUACAUAUUUCUGUUAUUUCUAUGGAUGUUUACAGUAUGGUUGAUACUCCUGAUGGUUAUGUGGCUUGUUUGUGAGCACUAUUUGACCUGUUCUUGUUGUAAUGUUGAUUCAUUAAAAAAAUUUUAUGUGACGAUGCUUGUCUACUUGUUAUUUGAUUUAUGUUGUGUACAUGUUAUUAAAUUGAGUUGGCCUAUGAUACCUACCAGUACAUAGUGGUUUGUACUGAUACUACCCUGUACUCUUCUUUUGUUGAGUGCAGAAAGUGUUCUAGGCUCAGACAUAACCUCACCUCUAGAGUUUGAUAGCAGAUCUUGAUCCAAGGGUGAGCACUCCUUAUCCAAGCUAUCAUGGUUCAUCUUAUUUGUUCUUGUCCAUCUUUCAGGCAAUGAAACAUUCUUUAUUUACUUUAUUUUUGGAUAUCACUUUAGAUAUGAUCUUUGUUAGUAGUUCUUGUGCGAUGACUUUCGGGUCUUGGGAAUUUUAGCAAGUAGUUGGUUUGAAUCUCCGCAUUAAUAAUAAUUAGUCCUGGAUAUUUAUUAUUAUGUUGAAUUUUAUAAUAAUAUUAUCUAAUAUUGACUAAGUGUUUCGGUAAUGGUUCGGUUUAGAUGGUUCUCACACAGGAAGAUUAGAAGCAGGAUUUUCCAUACCAAAUUGUCCCCAAAAAUCACCUAAUUGGGUUUUAUGUUUAAGCCUAUCCAUCUCAAUUUUUCUAGACAAUUUCAAAUCAUUACAAAGAUUGAGACCUUCUUGAGUACAGGCUGGAAUAAGAUGACCAUAAGUAAAAUCUGUCCAAAGGAAUGCACCAUAUUGUCCCUUAAUAGAUUUUUUAACCCUUUCUGCAAAAAGAGGUGGAAGUCCAUCUAUGAAUCUAGCUUUCCAAUGUUCAAGCCAAGAUUUGGGUAGAUCCAUAACUCUACUAAUAAAAGUGUCUUUGUACCAUAUGAAUUCUUCUAAAUGUUUUCAUCCAAGGUCAUUUAAGAGGGUACGGAUAUUUUUAUGUUUGUUGAUAAAUCUACCCCCAAAUUGUUGAAUAAUGAUAAGCACAAGGGUAUAUACAGCAUCUUCCCUCCCUUCUGGUAGUUCUCUACCUAGGUUGUCAAUGCCAGGAAGUAUAUUCUUAGCCUCAAAAAUUUUGUUUCUUUCGUCGUUGGAAAGAAAGUUGUCCCACCAGCCACGAAGUUGGCCAGUAAAACCUGCAACUAGGGGUGUACAGAUCAAACCGUCAAGUCAAACCAAACCGACGAACCAAACCAAACCGAGAAAAAAAUUCGACUUAUGGUUUGGUUUGAUUGGUUUGGUGUUAGAAAAAAAAUGACCAUUUUUUGUUUGGUUUGAUGUUAAACAAAAAAAGCCAAACCAAACCCAAAUCACACCGACAUAAUAUAUAUAUAUAUAUAUAUUUAAUAUAGUAUAUAUAUAAUAUUCAAAGUUUUUUAUACAUAAAAUAUUAAUUAUAAUCUACUUGUUAAAUACUUUUUCAACUAGUUUUAGUAAUUUUCAAUAAUUUGAAAGUAGAUGUAGAUAUAUAUAUGUAUAUUUAGGUUUUGGCCUUUAAGUUGUAAUAUUUUUCCAUUAAUUGCUACUUAAAUGAUCGAAAAUCGAAUAUAAACCUAAAACCUAAACUUUUCACUCUUCAUCUCACUUUUUAGUUUCAAGAUAGUUUUUCGCUCAUCAUUUUUUCAUAAUUAUGGUUUUUCAUUAGCACGUGAGUUAAAACAUAUUUGAUCUAGUCUUCGAUCACAAUAUAAUUGUAAAAACUAAAGAUUAUAAAAAAAUCCGAAAAAACUGAAAAACCUAAAAAAAUAGACUAAAACCUAAAUCAAAAAAACCAAUUUUAUGUUGGUUUGAUUUGGUUUAGAGUUUUAAUAAACCGACAUGAUUGGUUUAGUUUUUUUUUUAAUAAAAACUGAAUCCACCCGAUCUAUGUACACCCCUACCUGCAACAAUCAUUUUACAUAUAGUGUCAUCUGUUCGAAUAGGUUUGCCAUCAUUAUCAUUAGGGCUAGUGACUUUGGCAAUCAUAGAAUACAUUAACAUAUGAUGGACUAAAUUAACAUACGAUGGAAUAAAAUAGAAAAUUGUCUUUCUGAUAAUCCAUCUAAAUUCCAUUCAUAAAUAUUGUAAUACCCGUGCUUAUUCCUAGUUAAAAAUCAUCUCAAGGAUGCUAGUACUUGCAUUGAAAUACAAAUCUAUUUUUGUACCCAUGGAAUUUUUGAGAUUUCUACUUUCUAUCACGUGGAAAUUUGAAUUAGCUUUCUAACAAUACCAAUUUUUUUCCAAAUCUGACACCAGACGAGGAAGUUAUGGAUGUUUUACUCAGAACUAACCAAAAUUCCCUGGUGCGACAUCCAAGUUGACGGACCGCCAAACAAGUGACGGACCACCACUUUGACCGUCAUAGCCAAGGAAGUAGGGCCAUGAUCUGGAUAAGGAUUGAUGGACUAGUUGACGGACCGUCAUAUAUUUGACGGACCGUCAUCCAAGCCAUCAACUCUUAUCAAGUGAACCCCAUUUCUAGUCCAUGUAUAACGGUCGAAAUGAUGGACCGUCAAGUUCCUGAUGGACCGUCAGUCGGGUCGUCACACGCCACAUUCAGUUUACUUCUAGGCCAUUUUAACUAGGGUAUUUUGGUCACUUACUACUCGCCUAUAUAUACCUAGAUGAUUUCGAAUUCAUCCAUUUAGCUUAUUAUUAUUCCACAAACAAAAACUAGGAUUUCACUCAAAAUUUAAUCUCCACGAACAAGACCCAAUCUUAUUCAAAAAUCAAAGGAUUUCAAAUCCUUCAAGUUCAAAAACAUCAAAAACCGUGAGUCAGGUACGCGUGGUGUUCAUCUAUGGAUCCAUUUCAUUCAUAGAGCUCAAGAACCAUGUUUUAGAUAUUAUUUUGUGAUUGUCUUGUUGUGAUAUGAGUUGUACAUGUUGAUGAUUGUUGUUUUAAGUUUCAAGAUGAUAUCUAAAGUUGAUUUCAUGAAGUAUAUGUGUUUGUUAGUUGAAACCCAUGAUCCUCGUAUGGCUUAAUAUGGUGAAAUUCAUGAACACACUUAAGCUAAAAGAAUGCAUGCAAAGUGUUUGAUAAUAUGCCUAGAUGAUAGAAUUCAUGUCCCAUGAUUUAAUAGUGCUUAAAUGACAAGUCCAUGCUCUAUGCUUUACGAUUUCCCAUGAAUUCCAUGUGAGUGAUAUGCGUUGCUGUUGUGAUAUGGAUUGACCAUGAUAUUGAAGCUAUGCAAGUAUAAACAUGUUGUAUGAAUUUCCCUUCCAUGUAUAAGAUGUUAAUAACUAUGCUUAGUGUGAUAUGCCCUACUCAUGAUAUGGUAAAUUGUGGACUCUACUCUUACGAUCAAGUCAAUUAUGUGUGUUAGUUUCCUUCUAUUAAGUCCUGGGGGUACUUGUACCCAAAAUAUAUAGCUACGUCCCUAGAUCCAUGUCAUGUGAUCAUGAUAAUCUCAGUCAAGCCAUGAUCUAUAGAACUCAGUUGGGCAUGUGACUCAGGAAACCUCAGAAAUCUCAUAAUCUCAGUUAAUUCUCAAAUAGUAGUACUAAUCCGUCAGCCAACGAAAGUCAGUUACUAAGUCCACGUACCAUCAGUUAAAUCAAGUUCAGUCUCUUCAGAUGAGAGUAGAAGUUAGCACCGAGUGAACCCAAGGAUGGGAACUCACCUUCUAGUUUAAAGUGUGAUUCUUAGCAAUCAUCCUUGUGUUCCGGAACUACAUAUCCAACGUAGGUUGUGACAUCUUAACCUGACAGAUUAGGGUUGAUGAGGUGGCUUAAUCCAUCAGUUUAGGGUUCUCUCCAUUCUCAUUUUGAGUACCUUCCAUCUAAGGGUCACUCACAGCUGUCCUUACUAGUGGCGUGGUAUGGACACCCUUCUAGUCGUGGCAGAGAUUGGACCCCAACUUAGCUAUAUAUGUUAUGGGGGCAGGUCGGUUAAAAAAAUAUCUCCCACAGUUUCAGUCCCAGUCUCAGUAAAAUAACUUAGAUAGUUUUUCAGCUUUCAGUAGAUCAGGACUGUCAAAUACAGUCAGUUCAGUUACAGAACGGAACGCAGAUAGUUCCACUAGAUUUAGGACUGUCAGACAAAGUCAUCUAUGUUAUCAGAAUUUUAGUAUUUGUCAUGCUAGAUAUCAGUAGAUCAUAUAUUAGUGUCCAGAUCUAGAUAUCACGUACUCAGUAACUACGUAUGCAUGUUUACACUCUUACGUUUAUAUCGGUUAGUCAGUCAGCAUCGUUCAUGCAUGUGAACCCUUUUGCAUUUAGCCUACCUCACUCGUAUACUCAGUACUCCCAGUUGUACUGACCCAUUUGCGCUAUGGUUCUUUCUUUAAUAUUACACCAUAGGUUCACAGAUAUGAGCUCCAGAUCAGUAUUAGCAGUAGCAUUUUAGUCACAGAGUUGCAGUGAGUCCUCAUCCAUUUGAGGAUGAUAUUAUUUAUUUCAUUUAUUAAUUCUAUUUAGUUUUGCUAGACGAAGUUAGUUGGAGACAUAUUCCUUCAACUCCUUAUUCAGAUAGUAUUUAGAGGCUUUUAGAUUUAGCCCAGAUUUGAUUCAGAUUUUUGUUAUUUUGGGUAUUCGUUACCCCAUAUGGAUGUUAUGAUUUGUCAGAUAUUCUAUGCAGUUGAACCUUAUGGCCUAUUAUUUAUGUUUUCCAUAUUAUUACGUCAUAUAUUAUAGUAUACAGGUACAGAUAUUAGUCAUGGGUUAGCUUGUGGCCCCUCGGGACCAUGGGCCCCGUGUAGCAAUCCACUUCAGAAAACUGAGGCGUUACAAACUUGGUAUUAGAGCCUAAGGUUCAACAGAGUCCUAGGAAGUCUAAAAGUCACAUCUAGUAGAGUUUUAUGCAUGGGUGUAUUGUGCGCCACAUUUAUGUGCAAGAGGCUAUAAGAUGUUUUAGGAAUAGUUUCCCUUCUUUCGGUAUUCAUAUCAUGCUAGUGAGCAUAAUCUCAAGUUAAACUCUCGGUCUAAUCCGUUCUUCUCUUAUUAUAAAGUAUGCCUCCAAAGAGAAGAAACCAGCCAGCUCCUCAGCUCGAAGAUCCUUUGGGCGAACAUGUUUCUCAUGCAGAGUUUAUGGUUGUAUUUACCACACUUGCUCAGUAUGUGGCUGCCCAAAAUGAAUGGCCACCAGUUAAUCCGGCCAAUCUAGCGGCCAACUCAGACGCAGCUAGGAUUCGGGACUUCACUUGAAUGAACUCUCUAUCUUUCUAUGGGUCUAAGUCUGAUGAAGACCCUCAGGAAUUCAUUGACUAAGUCCAGAAGGCCAUAGACAUCAUGAGAGUUACUUCUUAUCUGAGUACCGAGUUAGUCACAUACCAAUUACAGGAUGUUACUCACACUUGGUACAAACAGUGGAAGUUCGAGAGGUUAGAGGAUGCAGUCCUAUAGAGUGGGAGGAAUUUGUCACGACUUUCUUAGACAUAUUAUUUCCCCAAGAGCUGAGGGAGGCAAAAGUUCUAGAGUUCAUCACCUCAGGCAGGGAAAUAUGAUACUUAAGGAGUAUUCUCUCAGAUUUAAUCAGCUAACCAGAUAUGCCCCUCAUGUGGUUACAGACAACAAGGCUAAGAUCAGCAAGUUCGUGUCAGGGGUGAAUGAUAGCGUGGUAAAUAAGUGUAACUCUGCGAUGUUGAACAGUAAUAUGACUUUAGCCAGGCUCAUGACUCAUGCUCAAUAAAUAGAGAAGCAGAAGAUUAAGACUAGGGAGAGACAGAACAAGAGAGCAAGGUCAGGCAAUUUCAGUUUUUCUUAACCAAAAUUAGAAGGAGAAAACCGUUUGCCAUUUCAUCCUAAUCCAGCAAUUCUAGCUCCUUCCUCCGCCAGUGCCCCAGUGCUAAAAUUCAAAGACAGUAACAGAGAUCGAGCACUAGGCACUAAGUCUCAGGGCAGUAUAAGUAGUGCCCGAACUAAUCCCCUAUGUCAGACUUAUGGUAAGAACCACAAGGGUACCUGUAGAGCUGGUAGUGAUGUUUUUUUCAGUUAUGGCAAGCCAGGUCAAAGGAUUAGAGAGUGUCCGUAGUUGGGUCUACAGGGUUAGCAGAAUCGCUCCACAGCCCAGUCUGGUCGCCCAAACCAGUAAAGUGCCGCAUCUAGUGCUACUAGUGGGCAAUGUCCAAAUAGACUCUAUGCUCUUUAGACCCGACAGAAUUAGGAAAAUUCUCCUUGUGUCGUUACUGGUAUGUUACAAAUUUUCCAUGUUCAUGUUUAUGCGUUGCUAAAUCCAGGUGCAUCCCUGUCUUUUGUUACUCCUUAUAUAGAAGGCGAUUUUGAAAUCAGUUCCAAAAUUUUAGUAGAGCAAUUUUUAGUCUCUACCCCAGUGGGUAAAACCAUCAUAGCUCAACGGGUAUACAGGAACUACCCAAUUAUGAUAUUUCAGAAUGCCACAUCAGCAGAUUUAGUCGAGUUAGAGAUGACAGAUUUUGAUGUCAUUCUCUACAUGGAUUGGCUUUAUUCCUACUAUGCCAUAGUUGACUGUGGAACCAGGGUAGUUUAGACUCAGUUCCCGAAUGAGCCCUUCUUGAGUGGAAGGGUAGUAAUUCAUCUUUCAGGGGUCAUCUUAUUUCCUACCUUCGGUUAAGAAAAAUGAUUUCUAAGGGGUGUGUGUAUCAUCUCAUGCAUAUUAAAGAUUCCAGUUCUGAAUCUCCUAGUCUUGAAUCAGUCCCAGUUGUAAAUAAGUAUUCAGACGUGUUUCCCAAAGACCUUCCAGGCAUUCCUCCCGAAAGGGAAAUAGACUUUGGCAUUGACCUUAUUCCAGAUACUUUUCCUAUUUCUAUUCGGCCAUAAAAAAUGGCACCAACAGAACUCAAAAAAUUGAAAGAUUAGCUGAAGGAUCUCUUAGAUAAGGGAUUCAUCAGGCCCAGUGUAUCCCCAUAGGGUGCACCAAUCUUAUUCGUGCGCAAUAAAAAUAGUUCUCUCAAGAUGUGUAUCGAUUAUUGUUAGCUCAACAAAGUUACGGUCAAGAACAAGUAUUCUCUUCUCAGAAUAGAUGACUAAUUUUGACCAACUUUAGGGUGCUAAUUAUUUCUCUAAAAUAGACCUCAGAUCAGGCUACCAUCAUCUCAGAGUUAGAGAAUGUGACAUCCUGAAGAUAGCUUUCCGUUCUCGGUAUGGUCACUUUGAGUUUCUAGUUAUGUCCUUUGAUUUAACCAAUGCCCCAACCACUUUCAUGAACUUGAUGAACCGUGUUUUCAAGCAGUACUUGGACAUGUUCAUCAUAGUCUUCAUAGAUGAUAUCCUGGUCUAUUCCCACACAGAGCGUGAUAAUUCAAACCAUCUCAAAAUUGUUCUUCAGACUCUCAGAGAUCACUAGCUAUUCACCAAAUUUAGUAAGUGUGAGUUUUGGAUAAGAUCAGUAUCAUUCCUUGGCGAUAUUAUUUUUGGUGAUGGCAUUAGAGUAGAUCCUCAGAAGACCAAAGCAGUAAGAACCUAGCAUCGCCCCAUCUCUCUAUCAGAUAUCAGGAGUUUCUUGGGAUUGGCUGGCUAUUAUAGAUGGUUUGUCGAGGGGUUUUCUUAUAUUGCAUCCCCCAUGUCCAGAUUGACUCAAAAGAAGGUCAAGUUUCAGUGGUCAGAUCCUUGUGAGAAGAGUUUUCAAGAGUUGAAAACUCGACUUACCUCAGCUCCAGUUCUAGCUCUUCCAGAUGGUUUAGAUGGGUUCGAGAUAUAUUGUGCUGCAUCCAGAGUGGGUUUAAGUUAUGUCCUCAUGCAGCAUGGUAAGAUCAUAGCCUACGCCUCCAGAUAGUUAAAGCCCCAUGAGAAGAAUUUUCCUACUCAUGAUCUUGAGUUAGCAGCCAUAGUAUUUGCCUUAAAGAUUUGGAGGCAUUAUCUAUACGGAGUUCAUGUAGAUAUCUUCACGGAUCAUAAGAGUCUCCAGUAUGUCUUUUCUCAGAAAGAUAUCAAUCUUCGUUAGAGAAGAUGGUUAGAGGUUUUGAAAUAUUAUGACAUGAGUGUCCUUUACCAUCCGAGCAAGGCCAACGUUAUGGCUGAUGCUCUCAGUAGACUCUCCAUGGGUAGUGUUUCUCACGUCGAGGAUAGUAAGAAAAAAUAGAUCAGGAAAUCCAUCAUCUUGCCAGACUAUGCGUUCGCUUAGUAGAUUCUUCGAAGGGUGGUGUAUAUUUUUAGAGUAGUUCAGAGUUUAGUUUCCGAGGUGAAAGAAAAGCAAGAUAGGGAUCCUAGCCUUGUCCAGUAAAAAGAGUCAGUUCAAAAUCAGAGGGUAGAGGUUUUCUCCCAAGGGGGAGAUGGUGUUCUUCGUUGUCAGGGUCGUUUGUGCGUUCCAGGUGUGAUGACUUAAAGAAGUGGAUUCUUGCAUAAGUGCAUGGUGCGCAAUAUUAUAUUCAUCUAGGGGCCACUAAGAUGUAUCGCGACCUACGGGAAAUCUAUUGGUAGAGUGGGAUAAAGAGAGAUAUUGUAGAGUUUGUAGCUAAGUGCUCUACAUGACAACAAAUUAAGAUAGAGCAUCAGAAGCCUAGUGGACAUAUGUAGGAGUUCACCAUUCCUACUUUGAAGUGGGAAGAAGUGAACAUAAGCUUCAUGAUAGGUUUGCCUAGAACUCAUCAUCAGCAUGAUUCAGUUUGGGUUAUUGUAGAUAGGAUAACCAAGUCAGAUCAUUUCCUUCCAAUUCAUUCUUCUUAUUCAGCCAAGGAUUAUACCAAACUCUAUAUCAAGGAGUUGGUCAGAUUACACAGUGUUCCAUUAUCUAUUAUUUCAGACAGAGGUACCCAGUUCACCUCUCACUUUUGGAAAGCAUUCCAAAAGGGUCUUGGUACCCAAGUCCAUCUUAGUACAGCCUUUCAUCCUUAAAUAGAUGGUCAAGCAGAACGGACCAUUCAGACUCUUGAAGAUAUGCUAAGGGUGUGUGCAAUUGAUUUCAAGGGAAGUUGGGAUGACCACUUUUCUUUGAUUGAGUUUGCAUCCAACAAUAGCUAUCAUUCCAUUAUUAAAAUGGCUCUAUUCGAAGCUCUUUAUGGCAGGAGGGAUAGAUCUCCCAUUGGUUGGUUUUAAAUUAGUGAGGCCUCAGUCAUAGGUCCUGACUUGGUUUUUUAUGCCUUAGAGAAAGUUCAGUUGAUCAGAGAGAGACUCCGGGCAGCUCAAAGCUGACAGAAGUCUUAUGUUGAUAUUCGUAGAAAGGAUCUUGAGUUCGAGGUCAAUGACUAUGUCUAUCUCAAGAUCUCUCCCAUGAAGGGAGUAAAGAGGUUUGGCAAGAAAGGGAAACUCAGUCCCUGCUAUGUCGGUCCCUUCAUGAUUCUCAGUCGUUUAGGCAAGGUAGCUUAUGAGCUCAAAUUGCCUUCAAAUUUAGCCUCAUUUCAUCCUGUAUUCCAUGUAUCCUUGCUCAAGAAGUGCGUAGGUGACCUAGCAGUUGUAGUCCCUAUUCAGAGUGUUGAUGUUCAGAACAGUCUCUCUCAUGAAGAGUUCCCAAUCAAAAUCUUAGACUAUCAAACUCGCCGAUUGGGGAACAAAGAGGUCCCUAUAGUUAAGGUUCUUUGGUAAAAUCAGUCGGUUGAGGGAGCUACUUGGGAAGCAGAAGCAGAUAUGCAUACUAAGUAUCCUUAGCUCUUCUCUGCAUAUUUAGAUCAAGUUCAUGGUAAUAGUUCACCUUAAGCUUAUUCAGUUUCAUAUUCAUGUUCCCAUUAUAAAUGUUUAUCUACUACCAUUUCAUACUCUGUCACACAUUCAUGUAUCAGUUCUGUUAUAAAAUAAUGCAUCAGCUAUGUAUUCUCAUCUUGAGAAACUCAGUUUAUCAGAACACUCAGUCACGCAUUCAUGUACCAGUUAGCCAUGCACCAGAUGUGCAUGAAUUCAGUAUAUUUAGCAUGUCAGUCAUGAAGUCAUGUCUCAGUCACACAUGUUCAUUUCAUGCUCAUUUAUUAUUUUCCCUCUUAGUCAGCCUCAUUAGAGGAUGAAUGUUCUCAAGAAGGAGAUAUUUUAAUACUCGUGCUUAUUCCUAGCUAGAAAUCAUCUCAAAGAUGCUAGUACUUGCUUUGAAAUACAAAUCUAUUUUUGUACCCGUGGUAUUUUUGACAUUUCUACUUUCUAUCAUGUGGGAAAUUGAGUUAGCUUUCUAAUGAUACCAAUUUUGUCCAAAUCCAACACCAGACGAGGAAUUUAUGGAUGUUUUACUCAGAACUGACCGAAACGCCCAGGUGUGACAUCCAAGUUGAUGGACCACCAAACAAGUGAUGGACCGCCACUUUGACUAUCACAGCCAAGGUAGUAGGGCCACAUUCUGUAUAAGGAUUGAUGGACGAGUUGACGGACCGUCAGAUUUUUUACGGACCGUCAUCCAAGCCAUCAACUCUUAUCCAACGAACCCCAUUUCUAGUCCACGUAUGACGAUCAAAAUAACAGCCGUCAAGUUUUUGAUGGACUGUCAGUCGGGUCGUCAUACGCCACUUUUAGUUUACUUCCAGGCUAUUUUAACAAGGGUAUUUUGGUCACUUACCACUCACCUAUAUAUGCCCAUAUGAGUCCAAAUUCAGCCAUUUUGCUCAUUAUUAUUUCACAAACAAAACCUAGGGUUUCGCUCUAAAUUUAAUCUCCAAGAACAAGAUCCAAUCUUCUUCAAAAAUCAAAGGAUUUCAAAUCCUUCAAGUUUAAAAACAUCAAGACCCUUGAGUCAGGUAUGCGUAGUUUUCAUCUAUGGAUCUAUUUCAUUCAUAGAGCUCAAGAACCAUGUUUUAAAUAUUAUGUUGUGAUUGUCUUGUGGUGAUAUGAGCAUGUACAUGUUGAUCAUUGUUUUUUAAGUUUCAAUAUGAUAUCUAAAGGUGAUUUCAUGAAGUAUAUGUAUUUGUUAGUUGAAACCCAUGAUCCUUAUGUGGCUUAAUAUGGUGAAAUUCAUGAACACACUUAAGCUAAAAGAAUGCAAGCAAAGUGUUUGAUAAUAUGCCUAGGUGAUACAAUUCAUGUCCCAUGAUUUAAUAGUUCUUAAAUGACAAGUCCAUGAUCUAUGCUUUACAAUUUUUGAUGAAUUCCAUAUGAGUGAUAUGCGUUGUUGUUGUGAUAUGGAUUGAUCAUGAUAUUGAAACUAUGCAAGUAUAUACAUGUUGUAUGAAUUUCCCUUCCAUGUAUAAGAUGUUGAGAACUAUGCUUAGUGUGAAAUCCCUUACUCAUUAUAUGGUAAAUUGUGGACUCUACUCUUACGAUCAAGUCAGUCAUGUGUGUCAGUUUCCUUCUAUUGAGUCCUUGGGUUACUUGUACCCAAAAGAUAUAGUUUCAUGCCUAGAGCCAUGUUAUGUUAUCAUGAUAAUCUCAGUCAAGCCAUGAUCUAUAGAACUCAGUCAGGCAUGUGACUCAGGAAAACUCAAAAAUCUCAUGAUCUUAGUUAAUUCUCAAAUACUAGCACUAAUCCAUCAGUCAACGAAAGUCAGUUACUCAGUCCACAUACCGUCAGUUAAAUUACGUUCAGUCUCUUUGGAUGGGAGUAGAAGUUAUCACCGAGUGAACCCAAGGAUAGGAACUCACCUGCCAGUUUAGGGUGUGAUUCUUAGCAAUCAUCCUUGUGUUCCGAAACUACGUAGCCAACGUAGGUUGAGACAUCUUAACCUGUCAGAUUAGGGGUAAUGAGGUGGCUUAAUCCAUCAGUUUAGGUUUCCCACCAUUCUCAUUUUAAGUACCUGCCAUCUAAGGGUCACUCACAGUUGUCCUUAUCAGUGGCGCGGUAUUGAUUCCCUUCCAGUCGGAGAAGAGAUUGGACCCCAACUUAGCUAUAUGCUUUAUUGGGGCAUGUCGGUUAAACAACUAUCUCCCACAGUUUCAGUCCCAAUCUUAGUAAAAAAAACUCAAAUAUUUCUUCAAAUUUCAAUAUUUCAAGACUGUCAGAUUUAGUCAAUUCAGUUAUAGAAUGGAACACAGAUAGUUCCACUAGAUUUAGCACUGUCAGACACAGUCAUCCAUGUUAUUAGAAUUUUUGUAUUUGUCAUGCUAGAUAUCAGUAGAUCAUGUAUUAGUGUCCAGAUCUAGAUAUCACGUACUCAGUUACUACUUAUGCGUGUUUGCACUCUUGCGUUCAUAUCAGUCCGUCAGUCAGUCAAUCAGCAUCAUUCCUGCAUGUAAACCCUUUUGUAUUUAUCCUAUCUCACUCGUAUACUCAGUACUUCCAGUUGUACAGAUGCAUUUGCGCUAUGGUGCUUUCUUUCACGUUACACCAUAGGUUAAUAGAUACGAGCUCCAAAUCAGUAUUAGUAGUAGCAUUCCAGUCGCAGAGUUGUCGUAAUUCCACUUCCAUUCAAGGAUGAUAUUAUUUAUUUCAUUUAUUAAUUCAGUUCAGUUUUGCUGGACGGAGUUAGUUGGAGACAUUUUCCUUCAACUCCUUAUUCAGAUAGUAUUUAGAGACUUUCAGAUUUAGCUCAGAUUUGAUUCAAAUUUCAGUUGUGUUGGGUAUUCGUUACCCCAUAUGGAUGUUAUGAUUUGUCAAAUAUUCUCUGUAGUUGAACCUUGUGGCUUAUUUUCAUGUUUUCCGCAUUAUUAUGUUAUAUAUUGUAGUAUACAGGUACAGAUAUCAGUCAUGGGUUAGCUUGUGGUCCCUCGGGAUCAAAGGCACCGUGUAGCGAUCCGGUUCAGAAAAAACUGGGGCGUUACAAAUUUGAUCUCCACUAUAUGACAUAUUUGUCAAGGACCAAUCUCUUUCCUCUAUCAGAACAUCUUCAGGAUUUGGUCUUGGAUAAUAAGCAGUUUGCAUACGAGGGACAUCAGCAUAUUUUUUCCUCGAUUGUUUUCUUAUCAAACCUCUUAGUUUAUUUAAGUUGAAUGGAUUUCAGAGCCUACAUCCGUAAUUGGAGUAGACUAAAGGUUAUCAGCAAAAGUAUUUGACAGAUCAAUGGGUUUUAUGUUUAAACUAGAAAAUUUCUUUUCAAGUAAUUGUUCAAGUUGUUCUAAUUCAGAAGGUUUUCCAAAUCCUUGAAUAUCAGGGGGACUUUGAAUAUGAGGCUUAGCUGUCAAGUCUUCUAUUUUGCUUUUUGAUGUGGAAGCAAUAUCAGAUGACCUUUGACUAUCCCUUUGCUUCUUAAUCAAAGUUGUCAUAAUAUCGAGUUUUUUAUCAAGAGAAGAAAUAUGUUCUCCAAGAACUUUCACAUACAGAGUCAUAUAAUUGUUUUAAGCAAUUAAACUAUUUAUUUCAGAAAUAGUGAUUUUUCCCACUUCAUUAUCAAUGAAAUUUUGAAAAGCAGAAAAAGUUAUACCAUUAUUAUUUGGUAAUAUAAAAGAUGACUGGGGAGGGUAAAUAGCCUGAGUAAUAGUACCAUUUGAAUUUUUGUAAGAUCUUCCAAUAAUUUUUACAUAUAAAGGCAGGUAAACAGAUAUAAACCAUGGCACAAAUAAAUAAUUUGAUUAUUUAAUGCACACAUUUCACAGAAUUCUUUAGAAAUAUUUUUCAUUUUAUCAUGACUAUAUGUUUCAAAAAACCAUGUCCUAAACAUUUUCCAGUUUUCACCAAAAAAUUCCUUUUUAAUGUAAUUUCUUACCUGUGAACCAGGAUUAAAAUCAAUUAGGAGAGGAAUCAUAAUUUAACAAGAAUUAACAUCGAACUCCAUUUUAGAGGGAGUGGGGUUAUCCUUAUCUAGGACAUUAUCAUUAUCAUGAACUAUAUUUGUUUUAGGAUUGAUUUUAAUCUUUUCAAUACUUCUAAGAGGAGUAUGCAAAUCUGCAGAACUUAGAGUAUGUAAUAGUGCAGCACGGUUUCUAGCUAGACCAUAAACUGGUUCAACUGGAGAGAUAUGAUGCAUAGCAGUCAACAUUCUAGUCGUAGAAAAAGAGUUUUGAUUAUAAACGGUAGAAUUAUCAUCAAAUUAAAGGCAAAUUCUUCCGUCAGUAUUUUGAGUAACAUGAGUUGACUCUGAGUUUGUCACAUCUUUCGUAAGUUGUUUUGGAGAAAUGGCAGAGUUUAAAAUCCAUGUUUUUGGGAAAUUAAUCUCUUCCCAUCUUAUAGGUCUCCUGGUAGUGACCUUGGAUUUUGCAAAAUUUAUUCCAAUAAGCAUAGUAUAAUCAAAAGCAUCAUCAAUCAAUUUACAUCGAGGAUUCAUUAUAGCUAAUAAACGAUUAUAAAUGUGAUAGGAUAAAUAGAUUAGUUCAGAUCUAGACGCAUAAUUAUAACCAUGAGUUUUUAUAUUUAAAGUCAAAGCAUCAAGAAUAUUCAUAUCAGUCAACGAUUGCAAAAUUGGCUGAGUGUUAAAAUAUACAAGGCCAUAAGCAAGAGAAGAUUCAAUAGAUCCCAUUAGAGACUGUCGAAAAUUUAAAUUUCUAGCAUCAUGUAGUGCAGCUACAAAUGUUUCUGGAAGACCUUUCAAGUUUAAAGGUUUAAAAGCAAUUUGCACUAAACCAAUAUGCAUAAAAUUAUACUGAUUUUUAAAUAUAUCAAUAUCUUUUUUAUUCAAUAAUUUUAUGGUUUGUUCGUCAGCAUUCAAAGCAAUAGAUUGUUCAGUGGUAUUUUUUAUCUGCUUAUAUUUAUAUUUAUCAAGAAAGCCAUAUUCAUAAAUGGUUUUUUGUAACGCCCCAGAAAACGGGUCCCGGAGAGGCUACGAGUAGCCCCAAGCUAACCCUUUGAGCCAUUUUCAUUCAGUUCAACACAAAUCAAUGAGGUUUUCAUAAAUAUCCCUCAAAUAUCAAUAAAGUAAUCAUCAUCCAAGAAUAAAAAAAUUUUAGAAAGAUAACAAAAUAUGACUUAUUAGUCAACUCCCAACAUCUAUACUAGUCUGACAAGCCUCUAAGAAAAUCAAUAAAACCAGCGAGCCAUUGAGACAUGCCCCAAUUGACACAUACUCAAUUAUCAAAUGUAAACAAUUCCGUGAAACCAACAUCACACAUCACGCCCUCGGAACAUGAGGACUCACCACAACAGAGGAUGUAGAAUAGCGUGCUCGAAGAAUCACUGUCGAACCUAGAACUAAGCACCUGAACCUAUAUUCUGAGAAAAUGUAGCCCACAUCCGAAGAUGUGGGUCAGUACCAUGGAAAGGAACCGAGUAUUUGGGGGUGUAUGCUAUUGUAUAAACAUCAACAUCGUAAAUAUUUAUUAAAAAAUAUGCAGGAUAUAUGAAAGACUCACAUGGCCCGAAGAAAAUCAUCAUAAUCAUGAGAGGAUGAAAUAAGUACAAUAACACAUGUGAGUCAUCAUAUAAUUUAUCAAUCACUUUCAGUUCAUCAAGAAUAUCAAUUCUNNNNNNNNNNNNNNNNNNNNNNNNNNNNNNNNNNNNNNNNNNNNNNNNNNNNNNNNNNNNNNNNNNNNNNNNNNNNNNNNNNNNNNNNNNNNNNNNNNNNNNNNNNNNNNNNNNNNNNNNNNNNNNNNNNNNNNNNNNNNNNNNNNNNNNNNNNNNNNNNNNNNNNNNNNNNNNNNNNNNNNNNNNNNNNNNNNNNNNNNNNNNNNNNNNNNNNNNNNNNNNNNNNNNNNNNNNNNNNNNNNNNNNCGAUCCAAAUAUCAAAAUCAUGAUAAAUAUCGUUCAAGAUUCAUGCUUUAUAUCUCCACACAUGUAAAUUCAUCUUUCAAAAUCAUAAACAUCAAGAUUUCAUAAUAAUCAUCAUAAGAUAUGGGUUCAUGCUUCAAAUUCAUAAAAAUCAAAUAAAAAUCAUGCCUUUGUAAAGAAAAUUACUUUUGGGCACAAGAACGAAAGAGAGUUCUUGUUGAAAAACCCCACAUACCUUGAAUGAUGAACUUUAGAUCGAUACUCAUUUUUGAGAUAUUAGUUGUUCCUUUGAAUGAUGGUUCUUGGAGUUCUUGAACUAGGAACUUGGAAUCUUGAAUAAAUUUACAGAAUUAAUGGUGAACUUUGGAGGUUCUUGAAGUUGGAUGUAGGAGCUUAGGGUUUUCUUUUUGAGGGAAUUUGAUGAAAUAUAACAUAUAAUGCUUCUAAUAGGCUUUAAUAUAGGGUUUGGAUGGAUUUUGGGUGAGAUGGAAUGACCAAAACGCCCCUAAAAAUCAAAUAAUUCUCAUAUCUGUCCUUUGGUGGAUUGUUUUGAUAGUCUGAAGUGUAUCAACCAUAACGUUUUUACUCCAAUAUUUAGAAAUAGGACUCUCAUAUCUUUCCAUUGAUAUAUAGUAUCUCACCCAGAUCAUUGUGUACGAGUAGUUAUGAUCAUUUGAAGUUGACCUAAAAAUUCACUUUUGAUAGGCUGAAGUAGAUCGACCAUAACUUUUUUCUCCGACAGACAAAUUGGAUGAAACCAAUUUCAUUGCAAAGAGGAAUCACAGAUAUUUUCGUUGAUAUAUAGUAGAUCACCUAGAUCAUUAUGUACAAGGAGUUAUGAUUGUUUAAAGUUGGAGCAAAAAUACGCCAGGCCUUAGGACUUUUUCCUGCACAUUUUACUGUUUACUACUAUUCACGGUUCGAACGGAAUGUUCAUAACUCGUUGCUCGGGUGUCCAUUUUGGAUAAUCCACAAAUCGUUGGAAAGAUUAUUCGAUACUCUACGCAAUGGUGGGUCAUAAUCUAAGACAUUCCACACGGAAAAUUUAUAAUUCAUUCCAGAAGAUAGAUCCCAACACAUUUACGCACAAAAUUUCAACUAAAAAUUUCCCGGGAUAUUACAUCAUCCCCACCUUGGAAACAUUCAUCCUCGAAUAUCUCUAGACAUGCCAAGAUUAGAUAGGGAAUAGAGCAUACAGCUGAAACCAUUUGUUAGACUCAUCACCACAUCGUUUCUCACUCCGAAUACAAUAUAGAAUGCAUAAAUUCAAGAAACUACAGCUGAGCACAUAAUAAAUGACAGCUGAACUGCUGUAACUUUUAUCAAAAGUGCAUGAUUUAGGAAAGAACGGUACCUUCCACUUGAUCGGAGUUCGCGGAAAAUAGGUGCGGGUACUUGGAUCGCAUAUCUGCGUCAGCUUCCCAAGUUGCACCCUCGAUAGAUUGGUCUCACCACAACACCUUGACCAAGGAAACUUCUUUGUUCCUUAGUCUUCGGACACUGAAAUCAAGAAUCUCAACAGGAAUCUCAUAAAAAGAAAGAUUUUCUUAAAUGUCAGUACUCACAGAGGAAUCCACUACCACAACAUUGCUAAUAUGCUUUCUAAGCAUGGAGAUAUGAAAUAUUGGAUGAACAGAGGAUAACUCGGAAGGCAAUUCGACCUCAUAAGCUACCUACCAACAUGGCUAAGAAUUUUGUAAGGACCAACAUAACGGGGACUAAGCUUCCCCUUCUUUUCGAAUCUCUUCACCCCCUCCCCCCUUAUGGGUGAAAUUUUCACAUACACUAGGUCACCAACUUCAAACUCAAGGUCUGUCCUUCUAACAUCCGCAUAUGACACGACUCUGCGCAGUUUUCAACCUUUCCCUAAUCAAAUUAACUUUUUCCAUAGCCUUCAAUACCGAAUUAGGACCACUCACAGCUGCUUCACCCACCUCAAACCAACCUAUAGGUGAUCUACACUUCCUCUCAUAUAAGGCUUCAAAUAGAGCCAUGCCAAUACUAGAGUGGAAACUGUUAUUGUAAGCAAACUCUAUCAACGAUAAGUGAUCAUCCCAACUUCCCUUAAAGUUAAUUGCACAAGCUCUCAACAUAUCCUCUAAGGUCUAUAUGGUCUGCUCAGCCUGACCAUCAGUCUACGGAUGAAAAGCAGAACUCAAAAGCACUUGGGUAUCAAGGCCCUUCUGAAAAGCUUUCCAAAAUUACGAAGUGAACUGAGUACCCCUAUCCGAAAUGAUAAAUAAGGGAACUCCAUGCAAUCUGAAUAGCUCUCGAUAUACAAUCUAGCGUAAUCCUCAGUAGUAUAUGAAGUAUGAACAGGCAAGAAAUGAGCAGACUUAGUCAACCUAUCAACCACAACCUAAAUGGAAUCAUGAUGGCGUCGGGAAGGAGGUAAACCAAUCACGAAGUCCAUAAUUAUCUCUUCCCACUUCUAGGUAAGAAUACUAAACUCUUACAUCAUACCACCAGGUCUUUUGUGUUCAACCUUAACCUGUUGGCAUGUUGCACACUUAGCUACAAACGCUGCUAUAUCUUUCAUUAUUCCACUCCACCAAUAGAUUUCCCGCAAGUCUUGGUACAUCUUGCUGGCACCAGGAUGAAUAGAAUAUCGCGCCCCGUAUGCUUCAACCAUAAUCCUCUGUCUCAGAUCAUCAACAUUCGGGACACACAAUCUACCCUGCAAUCUCAACACACUAUCUCCCAUUUGGGAGAAAACCUCUACUUUUUGGUCCUUGACUGACUCCUUCAUUCUGACCAAACUAGUAUCUAAGUAUUGCUUUUCCUUUACUUCUAAACCCAAGGAGGAUUCGGAACUACUCUUAACCCCUAUACUACCUUCAGCAGAGUCAAACAACCUAACCCCCAAUCUAGCCAAACAAUGUACAUCACGAGCCAACUCUUUCUUACCUUCUACCACAUGUGAAACACUACCCAUAGACACUCUCAUCCGCCACAACAUUGGCCUUGUUCAGAUGGUACAACACACUCAUGUCAUAGUCCUUUAACAAUUCUAACCAUCGUCUCUGCCUAUGAUUCAAUUCUCUCUGGGUAAACACAUACUGCAGACUCUUAUGAUCAAUGAAAACAUCAACAUGGACACCAUACAAAUAGUGUCUCCAUAUUUUCGAAGCAAACACAAUAGCAGCCAACUCAAGUUCAUAGGUAGGGUAAUUUUUCUCUUGGGGUUUCAACUGUCUAGAAGCAUAAGCUAUCACCUUACCCUUCUGCAUAAAUACGCAACCCAACCCAACUCUUAAAGCAUCACAGUACACCAUAAAACCAUCAACAUCAUCAAGCAAAGACAAAACAGGGGCUAAAGUGAGUCGAGUCUUCAACUCCAGAAAACUCUUCUCACAAGAUUCGAACCAUAAGAACUUCACUUUUUUUGGGUCAACCAAGUCAUAGGAGAUGCUAUAGAGGAGAAACCCUUAACAAAAUGGUGGUAAUAGCCAGCUAAACCCAAGAAACUUCAGAUAUCAAUCGGAGAAAUAGGUCUAGGCCAAUUUCUAACAGCUUCGGUCUUUUGGGGAUCAACUCUAAUAUCCUCGGAAGAAAUGAUAUAACCCAGAAAAGCAACUGACCUUAGCCAAAACUCACACUUACUAAACUUGGCAAACAACUUAUGAUCUCUAAGAGUUUGCAAGAAAGUUCGGAGAUGAUUAGAAUAUUCAUCCUCACUACUGGAGUACAUCAGUAUAUCAUCGAUGAACACUAUGACAAACAUAUCCAGAUAUGGUUUGAACACUCGAUUCAUGAGGUCCAUGAAAGCUGCUGGGGCAUUAGUUAACCCGAAAGACAUUAGAAGAAACUCAAAAUGGCCAUAACGAAUUUGAAAAGUAGUUUUUGGGAUGUCACACUCUCUAACUUUGAGUUGAUGAUAGCCAGAACGAAGGUCUAUCUUUGAGAAAUAACUUGCACCUUGCAAUUGGUCAAACAAAUCAUCUAUUCUCGAAAGGGGGUACUUAUUUUUUAUGGUGACUUUAUUCAGUUGGCGGUAAUCAAUGGACAUACGCAAAGAGCCAUCUUUCUUUCUCACAAACAACACAGGAGCACCCUAAGGAGAAACACUAGGCCUUAUAAAACCUUUAUCUAGUAGAUCUUUGAGUUUCUCUUUCAACUCCUUAAGUUCUGCAAGGGCUAUAUGGUAAGUAAGAAUAGAAAUAGGCUGAGUAUCGAGAAAAAGAUCAAUCCUGAACUCUAUCUCUCUAUCAGGAGGUAUCCCUGGGAGAUCAUCCAAAAAGACAUCAGAAAACUCAUUGACGACGUUAACAGACUGGAGAGUUAGAGUCUCAGACUUAGUGUCUUUGACUCUAACCAAAUGGUAAAUAUAGCCCUUGGAAAUAAUCUUUCUAGCUUUGAGGUAAGAGAUAAAAUGACUCUUGGGUGACAUAGAAUUCCCAGACCACUCAAACACGGAUGCACCUAGAAACUGAAACUUGACCACUCGGGUCCGAUAAUCAAUAGAGGCAUUAGAAGAAUACAGCCAGUCCAUACCUAGAAUCACAUCAAAAUCUACCAUGUCUAACUUAAUCAGAUCAGCCAACAAGACUCUAUGAAGAAUGGUAACAGGACACUUUUUAUACACUUUCUGGGCAACAGUCGAAUCACCCACUAGGGUAGAAACUAGGAUAGGCUCAGGAAUAAUCUCAGGACUCAUUUCAAAAUUCACAGCAAUCAAUGGUGUAACAUUUGAGAAACUGGAUCCAGUAUCAAACAAAGCAUACACAUCAAACUGAAAUAUAUAAAGCAUACCAAUAACAACAUCAAGAGAGUUCUCCUUUUCCUGGCAGAACGGUAAAGCAUAGAAUCUAUUCUGGCACUGUUCGUCAGCAUUGCUAGAAGAGGCGCCCUGAGCUGAGGCUGGGCGAGUCGCUGGAACUGGAGCACUAACAGUCUGAGUCUGGGUCUGAGGGCGAUAGUCACAACACCCUUGUCCAUCCUGUGGAAAAUCUCUAACUCUAUGACCCUUGUCACCAUACUGGAAACACCCCUCUUCUCACCCCAACACUCACCCGAAUGAUCCCUACCACACUUAGGACACAGGGGACAAUUUGGCUUACUGCCAGCACUGUACUAGGACCUGGAUGCAUAUGACCUGCUACCUUGCUCCUGCCUACCUCUAGGCACGAGAGAACUAGCAGAUGACGGUGAUGGCAUAGACAAAUGAUCCUGAUACUAAGGGCGACUCCCUCCCUGUAAUCUAGUCUGACCCUGUCCAUGCUGCUCGGACCUAGCUCUCUUAUUCCCUAUUAUUUUAUCUUUCUCUUUAAUCUUGUCUACCUCAAUUUGUUGGGCAUGAGUCAUCAGCCUAGAAAGAUUUAUCUCACUAUUCAGCAUAGAUGACCUACACUCCUUAACCACAUAACUAGAUAAUCCAGUCACAAACUUACUCAUACUAGCCCGAUUAUCAGCUACUAAGUCAGAAGCAUAUUUGUCCAACUGAUUAAACGUUAGACAGUACUCCCUAAUAGUCAUAUAGCCCUGUUGGAGGUUCAUAAACUCUUCCACCUUUGUCUCCCUCAUCUUGAAAGGGAAAAACUCAUCUAGGAAUGCAUCCUGGAACUCUUGCUAAGUUGUAGGGACAACUCCCUUACCUCUAUCUUUCGUCUAAGAAACAACCCAGUUAUAAGCAAGGUCUUUCAACCUAUACGCAGCCAACUCCACAUUAUGUUCCUCAGAUACAUGCAUCACCUGAGUAAUCUUCUGCACUUUCUCUAAAAACAACCGUGGAUCCUCAUCAAACUUAGACCCAUAGAAUUCCAGCGGAUUCAUCCGCAUGAAGUCACGGAUCCUAGCAGGGCAAUUAAACUAUUUAUUUUGAGCAAUUAAACGAUUUAUUUCAGAAAUAGUAAUUUUUCCCACUUCAUUAUCAAUGAAAUUUUGAAAAGCAGAAAAAGUUAUACCAGUAUUAUUUGGUAAUAUAAAAGAUGACUGAGGAGGGUAAAUAACCUGAUUAAUAGUACCAUUUGAAUUUUGGUAAGAUCUUUCAAUAAUUUUUACAUAUAAAGGAAUGUAAACAGAUACAAACCAUGGCACAAAAUAAAUAAUUUGAUUAUUUAAUGCACACAUUUCAUAGAAUUCUUCAGAAAUAUUUUUCAUUUUAUCAUGACUAUAAUUUAAAAAAAAACCAUGUCCUAAACAUUUUCCAUUUUUCACCAAAAAAUUCCUUUUUAAUGUAAUUUCUUGCCUGUGAACAAAGAUUAAAAUCAAUUAGGAGAGGAAUCAUAAUUUAACAAGAAUUAACAUCGAACUCCAUUUAAGAGGGAGUGGGGUUAUCCCUAUCUAGGACAUUAUCAUUAUCUUGAACUAUAUUUGUUUUAGGAUUGAUUUUAAUUUUUUCAAUACUUCUAAGAGGAGUAUGCAAAUCUGCAGAACUUAGAGUAUGUAAUAAUGCAGCACAGUUUCUAGCUAGACCAUAAACUGGUUCAACUGGAGAGAUGUGAUGCACAGCAGUCAACAUUCUAGUCGUAGAAAAAGAGUUUUGAUUAUAAAUGCUAGAAUUAUCAUCAAAUUAAAGGCAAAUUCUUCUAUCAGUAUUUUGAGUAACAUGAGUUAACUCUGAGUUUGUCACAUCUUCCGUAAGUUGUUCUGGAGAAAUGAUAGAGUUUAAAAUCCAUGUUUUUGGGAAAUUAAUCUCUUCCUAUCUUAUAGGUCUCCUGGUAGUGACCUUGGAUUUUGCAAAAUUUAUUUCAGUAAGCAUAGUAUAAUCAAAAGCAUCAUCAAUUAAUUUACAUCGAGGAUUCAUUGUAGCUAAUAAACGAUUAUAAAUGUGAUAGGAUAAAUAGAUUAGUUCAGAUCUAGACGCAUAAUUAUAACCAUAAGUUUUUAUAUUUAAAGUCAAAGCAUCAAGAAAAUUCAUAUCAGUCAAAGAGAUUUGCAAAUUUGGCUGAGUGUUAAAAUAUACAAGCCAUAAACAAGAGUAGAUUCAAUAGAUCCCAUCAGAGAUUGUUGAAAAUUUAAAUUUCUAGCAUCAUGUAGUGCAGCUACAAAUGUUUCUGGAAGACCUUUCAAGUUUAAAGGUUUAAAAGCAAUUUGCACUAAACCAAUAUGCAUAAAAUUAUACUGAUUUUUAAAUAUAUCAAUAUCUUUUUUAUUCAGUAAUUUUAUGGUUUGUUCGUCAGCAUUCAAAGCAAUAGAUUGUUCAGUGGUUUUUUUUAUCUACUUAUAUUUACAUUUAUCAAGAAAGCCAUAUUCAUAAAUGGUUUUUUGUAAUGCCCCGAAAAAUGUGUCCCAGAGCAUCACACAGUGCUUGAGGCUACGAGUAGCCCCAAGCUAACCCUUUGAGCCAUUUUCAUUCAGUUCAACACAAAUCAAUGGAGGUUCUAUAAAUAACCCUCAAAUAUCAAUAGAUUAAUCAUCAUCCAAGAAUAGAAGAAUUUCAGAAAGAUAACAAAAUACGACUUAUUANNNNNNNNNNNNNNNNNNNNNNNNNNNNNNNNNNNNNNNNNNNNNNNNNNNNNNNNNNNNNNNNNNNNNNNNNNNNNNNNNNNNNNNNNNNNNNNNNNNNNNNNNNNNNNNNNNNNNNNNNNNNNNNNNNNNNNNNNNNNNNNNNNNNNNNNNNNNNNNNNNNNNNNNNNNNNNNNNNNNNNNNNNNNNNNNNNNNNNNNNGAACUGAGUAUAUGGGGGUGUAUGCAGUUGUAUAAACAUCAUCAUCAUAAAUAUUUAUAAGAUAUAUGCAGGAUGUAUGAAAGACUCACAUAGCCCGAAGAAAAUCAUCAUAAUCAUGAGAGGUUGAAAUAAGUAUAAUAACACAUGUGAGUCAUCAUAUAAUUUGUCAAUCACUUUCAAUUCAUCAAGAAUAUCAAUUCUCAUAAUGUAAAUAUCAUUUAAAUCUUUCAAAAGAAUAACUUUCACCAUUCCACUUUCAAAUCACUUCACCAUUCACCAUAGACACAAGAAAACACACACACACUAGGAGAUCCUAUAGCCGACAUAAACCAUGUGAGCUACAUAGAGUGAGCUACAUGGAGUCCAACGUACAACCCACGUUGGAGAGAGUCAUCCUAUCCUAGCCAUCAGAGUAGGACUAUCGAUAUCAAAUCCACACAAACUAGUGAUCACUUUAUAAAUCAGCCUCAGGCUCACUCCUACGGGGGUACGUAGCUCGAGGGAAGUAAGGUCGCUUUAUACCUCCCACUUGGUGCUAAUGAUUUCUCCCGGACUUAGCUCAGAUCAUUUCAAAGACAAUUCAUAACAAAAUAAUUUCUGUAAUAUAUAAAUAUAUAUUGGGAGCCAUCAUGCAUCCCAUCUAUCAAAAUCAACCAUGUUGUGGAUUUUUUUCACACUCGAGUUCAAAACAACUCCAUUAAGACCAAAAGGUCAAAUCAUUCAAAAUAUCUCAAAUUUCAAUAUCAACGUGCUUAUAACAUACACUUUCUCAAAAAAAACAUAAUUUCCAAUAAAGAUUCACGACCCAAAUAUCAAAAUCAUGAUAAAUAUCGUUCAAGAUUUAUGCUUUUAAUCUCCACACGUGUAAAUUCAUCUUUCAAAGUCAUAAACAUCAAGAUUUUAUAAUAAUCAUCAUAAGAUAUGGGUUCAUGCUUUAAAUUCAUAAAAGUCAAAUAAAAAUCAUGCCUUGUAAAGGAAAUUACUUUUGGGCACAAGAACGAAAGAGAGUUCUUGUUGAAAAACCCCACAUACCUUGAAUGAUGAACUUUAGAUCGAUACUCAUUUUUGAGAUGUUAAUCGUGCCUUUGAAUGAUGGUUCUUAGAGUUCUUGAACUAGGAACUUGGAAUCUUGAAUAAAUUUGCAGAAUUAAUGGUGAACUUUGGAGGUACUUGAAGUUGGAUAUAGGAGCUUAGGGUUUUCUUUUUGAGGGAAUUUGAUGAAAUAUAACAUAUAAUGUUUCUAAUAGGAUUUACUAUAGGGUUUGGACGGAUUUUGGGUGAGGAUAAAUGACCAAAAUGCCCCUAAAAAUUAAAUAAUUCUCGAAUCUAUCCUUUGGUGGACUGUUUUGAUAGUCUGAAGUAGAUCAACCAUAACAUUUUACUUCUAUAUCCAAAUUGGAUGAAACCAAUUUCAUUAGAAAGAGGACUCUCAUAUAUUUCCGUUGAUAUAUAGUAUCUCACCCAGAUCAUUGUGUACGAGGAGUUAUGAUCGUUUGAAGUUGACCCAAAAAAUUCGCUUUUGAUAGGCUGAAGUAGAUCGACCAUAACUUUUUGCUUCGCUAGACAAAUUGGAUGAAACCAAUUUUAUUGGAAAGAGGACUCGCAAAUAUUUCCGUUGAUAUAUAGUAGAUCACCCAGAUCAUUAUGUACAAGGAGUUAUGAUCAUUUAAAGUUGGAGCAAAAAUAUGUCAGGCCUCAGUAAUUUUUCCUGCACGUUUUACUGUUCACUACUAUUCACGGUUCGAUCGGAAUUUUCAUAACUCAUCGCUCGGGUGUCCAUUUUGGAUGAUCCACAUAUCAUUGGAAACUUAUUCGAUACUCUAUGCAAUGGUGGAUCAUAAUAUAAGACAUUCUGCAUGGAAAAUUUAUAAUACAUUCUAGAAGAUAGAACCUAACACGUUUACGCACAAAAUUUCAAUGAAAAAUUUCCUGGGGUAUUACAUUUUUAUAUCUACUUUUGGAAUAUUUAUUUAAUAAAUCUAGGUUUAGAGGUAAAUCUAACUCUCAAUUUUAGUACUUUUUGUACUAACUUCUCCCAUAUCGAAGCUCUUUUUCUAUGACUAGAAUGUUGCCUGAUAUGCAUCACAUCUCUCCAGUUGAACUAGUUUAUGGUCCAUCUAGAAAUCGUGCUGCAUCAUUGCAUACUAUAAGUUCUGCAGAUUUGGUACUCCUCUUAGAAGUAUUGAAAAGAUUAAAAUCCAUCCUAAAACAAAUAUAGUUCAAGAUAAUUAUAAUAUCCCAGAUAGGGAUAACCCCACUCCCUCUGAAAUGGAGUUUGAUGUUAAUUCUUGUUAAAUUAUGAUUCCUCACCUAAUUUAUUUUAGUCCUGGUUCAUAGGAAAGAAAUUACAUUAUAAAGCAAAUUUUUGGUUAAAAAUGGAAAAUGUUUAGGACAUGGUUUUUUGAAACAUAUAGUCGGGAUGAAAUGAAAAAUAUUUCUGAAGAAUUCUAUGAAAUGUGUGCAUUAAAUAAUCAAAUUAUUUGUUUUGUUCCAUGGUUUAUAACUGUUUACCUACCUUUAUAUGUAAAAAUUAUUGAAAUAUCUUAACAAGGGACAUAAAUGAUUUAAUUGAUAUGAAGCAUUGGCGGGUAAAUUUCUUAAAGCUUGAAAUGAUGAGUAAGAAUAUUCAUAAUACUAUGAAUUCUGUAAAAAUUCAGGAAAAAAUAAAAAUGCUUUCUUAUUAAUUGAUGGUUGAUAUUUGUACUGAACACCCUAAUACUUUUUGGAAUCACAAAGAGCGUAUAGUUACUCUUCCUUCUGAAGAUGAUUUCAGCAAAGAUAAAAUCCCAACCAAAUCUUGACCCUUCCAAAUGAACAAAGAGUUGGUUGAAUUUUGUAAAAAAGAGAUUGAUAAUCUCUUACAAAAGGGUCUUAUAAAACCUUCAAAAUUCCCUUGGUCGUGCACGGCAUUCUAUGUUAAUAAUGUUGUUGAAAAAGAACAUGGUAUGCCAAGACUUGUAAUUAAUUAUAAACCUCUUAAUAAAGUUUUGAAAUGGAUUAGGUAUCCCAUACCUAAUAAAAAGGACUUGUUAUCUAGAUUAUAUAAUGCUAAUAUAUUUUCAAAAUUUUAUUUAAAAUCUGGCUAUUGGCAAAUUCAGAUUUUUCAAGAGCACACAUAUAGAACUGUUUUUAAUGUUCCUUUUGGACAAUAUGAGUGGAGUGUGAUGCCAUUUAGUCUGAAAAUGCUCUUCUCAAUUUCAAAAAAUCAUGAAUGAUAUAUUUAGUCCACAUAUGGAUUUUAUAAUUGUGUGUAUUGAUGACAUUCUUGUAUUUUCAAAAACAUUAGAAUUGAAUUUUAAACAUCUGAAUAUAUUCAAGCAAAUUGAGUUACAAAAUGGUUUGGUCAUCUCUAAACAAAAAAUGUGCUUAUUUCAAACUGAUAUUCAAUUUUUAGGACACAAUAUUUGCCAAGGAAGAAUCUAACCCAUACAGAGGGCUUUGAACUUUGCUAAAAAAAUUCCCUGAUAGUAUAACUGAUAAAACUCAAUUGAAAAGGUUCUUAGGCAGCCUUAAUUACAUUUUUCCUUUUUAUCAGAAUCUGUCUCAUGAUUUAACCCCUUUAUAUAAUAGGAUAAAAAGAAUUACAAAGGUCCUUUGACUGAUUCUCACACUAAUCUGUAAAAAAUGAUUAAAAAAUGUGUCGAGUCUUUACCUUGUUUAACCUUAGCUAAUCCAGCUUGGUUAAAAAUAGUUGAUAUUGACACUUCUAGUGUUGGUUAUGGUGGAAUACAUAAACAAAUUAAUCCCCAUAAUCAUAUUGAAAGCCUCAUUAGGUUUCAUUUUGGAAAAUGGUCUGAAAGUCAAAAAAAAUACGCCACUGUGGCUUGUAAAAUAUUAACUAUUGUUAAAGGUGUUUUAAAAUUCCAAGAUGAUUUAUAUAAUCAAAAAUUUAUAGUUAGGACUGAUGCUCAAUCAAUUAAAUGUAUGUUUGAUAAAAAUUUUAAACAUGAUGCUUCCAAGUUAAUCUUAGCAAGAUGGCAAGCUCAAUUGGCCCCUUUUAAUUUUGAAAUACAAUACAAGAAAAGGAGUGAAAAUUCUUUUCCUGAUUUUUUGUCUUGAGAAUAUUUAAAUAAUUAAAUAAAUUUUGAUACAUACUUCCUUUUUGAAAAAACAAUAAUUAUGAUUAUCAAAAGCAUUACUCUAAAUGAAGAUAUUCAUUUUAUUAUAUUAGAAAAAAUCAUCCAUGAUAUGAUAGAAGAAGAUUUAUUUCUUCCCAAUUUUGCAGACAUCCGUGAUGAAAUUGAUUGGUAUGAUAUUGAUUUAUAUGACUAAUUUUAUACGUUGUAAAGGUACAGAUCCGCCUUGAAAAAUAUCCAGAGGUUGAGGUAGAGGAAGAAGCCACAGAGGAAGAUACUCCUCCUCAGGGGGAAGAUACUCCCCAUCAUUAUCAUUAUAUACUUCGUCUUCAUCUAAUUUCCCAGUAUUGCAAAGGAGAAAUAUGAUCCUGAUAAAUGCAAGGAUUUUGCAUAUUGCGAAAUUUUCUUCAAAGGACAAUAAACUCAGCAUAUAAGCACCUCGAUCCAUCUAGAAGAUAUUUCAUAAGAUCAUCCUUUAUAUGAGCAACUGCAAUCUUUUAUAUCUGCAAAGCAAGCAGAUUUGUUUGCUUCAGUUACUAAAGAAAACUCUAUAGAAAGGAAACAAUAUGAAAAACUUAAAAAUCAAAAGAUAAUAGUUCUCAUAGAAAAUUCUCAAAUAUGAAAACAAAAUGAUCCCUGGAAACUUCUCUAAAAACAUUUACUAGCUUACCUUUAUUUUGCAGGUGAAUCCUAUAAAACAAGAGCAUUCUAUGAACCAAUAUUAUUGUCACUGGAAGUAUUGAAUUGGAACAUUACCAAAUGGGUGAGUCAACCCAGAUGUUCAUUGAUACUCCAAUAUUGUUAAUAAAAAACUCAUUUCAAUAGAAGACUGGGGAACUACUUCCAUGUCAGAAAAGGCCAUGAUGAUGAAAGGAUCAAAAUUUUCCUUUUUAAUGUAAUUUCUUGCCUGUGUACUAG